This 6791-nucleotide long non-coding RNA is filed under the name Sus scrofa (pig). RNAcentral's name for it is "lncRNA (ENSSSCG00055006069.1)". Lineage: Eukaryota; Metazoa; Chordata; Mammalia; Artiodactyla; Suidae. The record is from RNAcentral.
AACUAACUUUAAAAUAUUUUGUUCUAGUUCUGUGAAGAAUGUCCUUAGUGAUUUGAAAGGGAUUGCAUUGAAUCUGUAUAUUGCCUUGGGUAGUAUAGUCAUUUUGAUAAUAUUGACUCUUCCAAUCCAAGAACAUGGUAUGUCUUUCCAUCUGUUGGUUUCAUCUUUGAUUUCUUUCAUCAGUGCUGUUGAAAGUAUAGGUCUUUUGUCUCUUUAGGUAGGUUUAUUCCUAAGCAUUUUAUUCUUUUUGAUGUGAUGGUGAACUGGAUUGCUCCCCUGAUUUAUCUUUCUGAUCUUUCAUUGUUAAUAUAUAGAAAUGCAGUUGAUUUCUGUGUAUUAAUUUUGUAUCCUGCAACUUUGCCAGAUUCGUUGAUGAGCUCUAACAGUUUCUGGUAGAGUCUUUAGGAUUCUCUAGGUAUAGUAUAAUGUCAUCUGCAAAGAGUGACAGUUUUAUUUCUUCCUUUCCAACUUGGAUUACUUUUCUUUCUUUUACUUCUCUGAUUGCUGUGGCUAGGACUUCCAAAGCUAUGUUGAAGAGUAGUGGCUAGAGCAGACAUCCUUGUCUUGUUCCUGAUCUCAGUGGGAGUUCUUUCAUCUUUUCACCAUUGAGAAUGAUGUUAGCUCUGGGUUUGACAUAAAUGGCCUUUAUUGUGUUGAAGUAGGUUCCCAUUAUGCCCACUUUCUGAAGGGUUUUUAUCAGAAAUGGGUGUUGGAUUUUGUCAAAGGCUUUUUGUGCAUCUACUAAGAGGAUCAUAGGGUUUUUAUUCUUCAGUUUGUUAAUAUGGUGUAUCACACUGAUUGAUUAGCAGAUAUUGAAGAAUCCUUGCAUCCCUGGGAUAAGUCCCACUUGAUCGUGGUGUGCAAUUCUUUUAAUGUAUUGUUGCAUUUGGUUUGCUAGUAUUUUGUUGAGGAUUUUUUGCGUCUAUGUUCAUCAGUGAAAUUGGCCUGUAGUUUUCUUUUUUUGUGGAAUCUUUGUCUGGUUUUGGUAUCAGGGGUGAUGGUGGCCUCAUAGAAUGAGUUUGGGAGUGUUCCUUCCUCUGUAAUUUUUUGGAAUAAUUUCAGAAGCAGAGAUGUUAGCUCUUCUCUAAAUGUUUGAUAGAAUUCACUUGUGAAGCCAUCUGGUCCUGGACUUUUGUUUGUUGGAAGUUUUUUAAUCACAGUUUCAAUUUCAGUUCUUGUGAUUGGUCCAUUCAUCUUUUCUACUUCAUCUUGGUUUAGUCUUGGAAAAUUGUACUUUUCUAAGAUUUGUCCAUUUCUUCCAGGUUUUCCAAUUUAUUGGCAUAUGGUCACAUAUAGUAGUCUGAUAUGAUCCUUUGUAUUUCUGUGAUGUCCAUUGUAACUUCUCCUUUUUCAUUUCUAAUUUUAUUGAUUUGAGUCCUCUCUCCUUUUUUCUUGAUAAGUCUGACUAAGGGUUUAUCAAUUUUGUUGAUCUUUUCAAAGAACCAGCUUUUCGUUUCAUUGAUCUUUUCUAUGGUUUUCUUCAUUUCUAUUUCAUUGAUUUCUGUUCUGAUCUUUAUGAUUUCUUUCCUUCUGUUAACUUUAGGUCUUGCCUGUUCUCUCUUGAGCUGCUUUAGAUGUAAAGUUAGCUUGUUUAUUUGAGCUUUUUCUUGUUUCCUGAUGUGGGUUUGUAUUGCUAUAAACUUCCCUCUUAGAACUGCUUCUGCUGCAUCCCGUAGGUUUUGGAGUGUCAUAUCUUUGUUGUCAUCUGCUUAUAGGUAUUUUUUAAUUUCCUCUUUGAUUUCUUCAGUGAUCCAUUGGUUGUUUAGUAGCAUGUUGUUUAGUCUCCAUGUUCAACCUUAAAUUUAAAUGAAAAAUUAAGUAAUCUUAUUAUUUUUUCUUUUAAGGAUUCACAGCUUUCUCUUCAAGUAGAUAAUUGGUCAUACUCAGGAAUACCCAACCAAAAUUGCAUUAUUUCUGCUACAGGGACAAUACUCAAGUCUGAAGCUGUGAGUCAAAUGAAAUCAAAACAAAAGCAAACAAAAGUCAGAAAAACAUCUCAUUAGAAGUCUGCUGAAAGAACAAAUUUCAAUUCUGUUGUAAGAUUCAUUUGUGGAGAAUAUUUAUAGUCUCUAUUUCUAAAUCCAACUUUAUAAAAGAAAGCAAAUACUCUACUCCCAGUAGUACUUUUUUUAAAUCAGAGACACCUUAUCCUCAGGUAACUUAUAGUUAACGAGCUUCUAUCUCUCAUACUUCAUCUUGUUCAGAGCUCUGGGCAGUCAGUGUUUGGGUUUUGCCUCUUACAUGUUUUCUCCCUGGAAAUCUAAUUGUUGGAAGAAACAUGCAAAGCCAGUACAUUGUACUGUGUAGAGAUUUCAUUAUUGAGCCAUCUUGUGAAGAAUAUUGGAGUCUAUCUUAAAUUUUGUAGAGCUAACACAUAAAUGGAACACAGAGAAUGGAAAAAUGGAGAACAGGUCAGUGACUGGUUUAAAAAUAGCAAGUAUUCCCUCACCUGGUAGCCCUGAACAUUCUAGAGGUGAAGAGAUUGUGUGUUUCUUGUGGGUUAUAAUUGUCUGGGUUAUAAUUCAAGAAUUGUUAGUACUAAAGAGAGCUCAAAAGGUCCAUUUUUGUACUCACUGUGAAUACUUGGUCCUGGGAGGGUAUUCAUAAGCCUGGUUUGGCGAUCGGUUUUUGUGAUUAUCUGUGCUUCAAACCCAAACCAGGGCUCUGAAGGAGAGCUUAUAUGAGGUCACAGAAGGCAGCAGCAGCAGGAUCUGUCCCAGGCACUUGGGGCUCAUUUGUAUGGAUGCACUGAUGCUAUGGGAGCUGCAUACAUCAAAGCUGCUGCAGUCCCUAUCACAGAGCCUCAUGGAAAACGGGAUUGUUCUGCAGCUUUGCUUUCCCAUCAGAGUUCCACUUCAUAAUCUAAUGCCCUUUAACUAGAGAGGAUCUGGGACAAAGAGAGCUAAAUGUACAAAGCAAAGAACAGUUUAAGUACAGCGCUCAGAAAUCAUUGGCAGCUUAGGGUAAGAUAAAGUCCCACAGUGGUAACAAAUCAUAGCAUCUUAGCUCUGGCAGGAACCUUGAAAGGUCAUGCAGAUCAUCUUCAAAACUUAAACCAUUUCAGAUGUAUAAGAACUGAUUCUAUGUUUUAGGACCUCCAGAAGGAAAAUUACACAGCUCGCUUUGAAACAUGUUCUGAUAUAUAGUACCUUUUUCACUGUUUUGUAAGUUCAUUCUUCAGUGAACCCAGGUCAGUCCUAUUGCAGUUAAAAUUAAUUUUUAUCUGUUCAUUCUUUAGUGGAGAUGUGUAAUGACUAGUCAGUAUCCAUUAUGUAAAAGUCCCUUAAGAUCAGCCAUGGUUAAUUUGUACCUCCACUUUCUUUUCAGUAACAAAAAUCUGUUUCCUUACAUGUUUUUCUAUGGCCUGCUUUUUUUUUUUAGCCUCUUACUUAUUAUUGCUUUCAACAUCUCCUCCAAGUUCUCCAUGUCAGUCUUUGGUUAUAAUGUCUGAACUGGAUCCAGUGCUGUAGAAAUAUCUGAUAAGUACUUAAUACAAUGAGAAACUCACCUCAUGAUUCCUAAAUACAGUGUUUUUUGCUUUACACAGUGGUGUGAGACUGUAAAAAUGACUAUGCAGGCUGAGUUUGGAGCAUAGGGGUCUUAAUAAUCAGUGGGAAAAUAAUGGUACAUAAACAUAUGUCAAAAUUUUUAAAGCACUAUUCCUGUUAGUUAUACAUGUAUAGAGAAAUUAAAAACACAGUCAACCUAAUACUAGUAUACCGUGGUGUAGGCCAGCAGCUGCAGUUCCAAUUCAACCCCUAGCCCAGGAACUUCCAUAUGCUGCAGGAAUGACCUUAAAAAGAAAAAAAGAAAAAACAAAACAAAACAAAACAAAACUAGUAUACUGUAAUUUAAAACAUUAAGAAUUUAAAUGUUUUAUUUCUUUGUAAAAAACUUAUCCAGAGUAGUCUGAAUAGUGCUUGCCUUCUUGUCAUAUAACUUACCAUAUUGGGCACACGUCCCUUCUGUGCCUUGGUGUUUUGUCAUACUCCUUCCUAAGUUUGGAAUCAGCUUCCAACAUUUUAUCCUUUGUGCUAUCAAUGUCAUGAAAUAGCUCCAAGAAUUCCUUUAAUGUGCGGUUUUUGCCAGCAUCCCUUCCUCUGGGACAUCUUCCUCCUUUUCAUCACAACCACUUUCCUCAUUAUGGUGAUUAGUUUGCCUUCCCUGAGUUCCUCUGGUGCAUAUCUAGUCUCUCGAAUGGCAGCAGUGUCAACAAUUCCACGCUUAACUGUUUCUUCUGUAACUGUUUACAUUCCAGCAUUAUGACUUUUUUAUUCUUUGUUGGCCAAUUCUCUUUAUCCAUUAUUGGGUUUAUCACUGGAAGAUAAGCCCACCAGACACUUUAUUGUUUGUGUGUAAACCUGAAUAACAGAUUCAUAGUGACCAGUCACCAACAGACUUUGAAAGAAGAGAUGUGAUUUGUCACUGAUCAUGUGAUCACAGUGCACAUCUGUUAUUUAUAAUGUGAUUUUUGAAUGAAGAGCUAGCAGUGAAAUUUGUACCUUUAUGCAGUUACAUCUACUAUCCCAUGGCAACAGAAAUGUGAACCCUGUUUUUGAAGGACUGGUGUUUGUUUAGCUAUUAUAAUGGGAAUUUUCGUGUUUCGGAAUCAUGCCCAAUGAGGAUGGCCUUAGUCAAUUCUUACAUCUACCCCCAAGUCUGUGCCCAUUUCUAGUUCCUGGUCAGUUUGUCAUCUACUCUAACUUUAGGUCUUUUUCUGACAUAAAGCUUUACCAACCUCAUCUUAGAAUUUUCUUUCUUCAUCAGGAGUACCACGUUAGGUCUUUCCUCUUAGAUCUUUAUACUUUUGGUUUCCACUAUAAAGUACCCAUUUAGUCUCUAAAGUUUCUCUGGAAUAUUGAUUCCAUUCCCAAGUUUACUAGCAUCUGCAAAUCAAAUAGACAUUUCCCAACUCAUUUACAUGAAUACUAAUUAUCCUCACAGAAUGCCGGUUAUACUGAUUGCCUCCCAGGUUGACCCAGCCAGCUCGGUGUUAUCUUUUUGGUCCUACAGUUUAAUCAGUUCUGUUAGCUUAAGGCCAGUGGUUCCCAGUUCUGGUUCAUCAUCAGGAUCUUCCAAGGAGCUUUGCAAACCACUUCCCAAGCCCUGUGACGGUCUGCAGAGAGGCCUUGAAAUCUAUAUAUUUUAAUGCUCCCAUGAAAUCAGCUAGGUUUGGUCUAUAAUAUGAACCAUGUUCUCCUCCUUCUUAGUAACUUUAUCAUAGGCUAGUAGAACUUUAGAAUUGAUAGAUGUAUUAGAGACCAUUUUUCCAAACCUACUGAAAAGUAAGAAAAGUAAGACCCAGAGAUGCUAAAUGAUUUGGUCAUGGUCUCAGAAUUUCAGACAGAGUCAGGACUAGAACCCAUGUUUCCAAAUUCUGAACUUAGUACUCUUUCUACCUAAUUUCCAUCAUAUGGAACACAGAAUUAUUGACUAUCAACUUUGAGCUCUCCUGGAGUGAUCUUUUUUCCCUCAGGUAUGAAUGUAUCUGUGCAUUAACUUCUGAGGAGAGAUGCCCCAAUAGGAUUCUCUAUAGCACAUGGGUUAUAGUGGUUAAGGCAAGGAUUUUUGAUGGAGUAGGUGCUGCAGGCCCUGGAGAAGCUCUGGGAGGCUCAGUUCAGUCCUGCUCUGGUGCUUACUCUCUGCCUGCUCUGUGCCUGCCCAAGCUGCUGCCUCUGAUGUACUUAGAUGUCUGUUUGAGUUGUACACAGUGUUUGUUUCCAGAGGCUGUUUGUAUAACUACACACACUGCCUGACAGGAGAGGAGGAAGGCGGGGUGGGGUGGUGAUGUCCUAUUCUGUGAAGCUUUUUCUAUUUCAAUGAGACAUUGCUUACAACUAAACUAAGACUCUAGCCUUCAGGUUUGCUGACAGAGGAAAAUGAGUCUGUCUGUAAUACUGAGAGAAAAACUAAGAAGUAAAGCCUAUAUUCCUUUGAUAUGUUUUAUGUGUUCAUGAAAAAUGAAUGGGGAAUGCUGAAUAAAGUGUAUGAACAGUUAAUGUUUACAUACUGAGCUCAGCAUCAAAAAUAAAAACAAAAACAAAAUUUGUCUACUUCCUAAUCUCCCUGAGCUCCCUGUCACAGACAAUGGUGUUUGAAAUGCUGAUGUGUCUAGUAGCCAUUUUAAAGGAGAAGCUUCAUAAUCUUUGGAGCUGAAAUCCAGGGACUUUUUAUAAAAGAUCCCUCCUCUCAAGCACAUGCUGCCCUCCACCCAGGCCUCCUACUAGGCCCUGGAGGGUGAAAGAUAGUGUUUCACUGAAUCAGGGCAUUUUAGAGCUGGAAGAGGCAUUAGCACUCUGCUGGAGUUCCAAGUUCUUGGUUUUCUCCCGAGACCCCGAAUGGUCAACAAACUUGGCUUCAGUCACACAGCCAGUUUGGAGCUGGACUUGACUAGAGCUCAGGUCUUCUGACUCCUGGGCCAGUGUGGUUUUGACUGCAUCAUGUUGUACAUAAAAACAUUUUCAGACUUCUUUUAAUGUGAAAUUCUAGUGAUUUGGCAGUUGUGAAUUUUAGUGGCUAUGUCAGACUUUUAGAGGGGAUAAAACUGCUUUCUGGGUUCCAAUUGGAAUGAAUCCAACUAGUAUCCAUGAGGAGGUAGGUUCGAUCCCUGUCCUCGCUCAGUGGGUCAGGGAUACAGCAUUGCCAUGAACUGUGGUGUAGGUCACUGACAUGGCUUAUAUCCCAAGUUGCUGUGGCUGUAGUAUAGGCUGGCAGCUGUACCUCCGAUUCGACCCCUAGCCUGGGAACUUUCAUAUGGUCCAAGUGUGGCCCUAAAAGGCAAAAAAAAAAAA